GAGUUUGAUCUUGGCUCAGGACGAACGCUGGCGGCGUGCCUAACACAUGCAAGUCGAACGGAGAUAAGCGCUGAAUGGAGAGCAGCUUGCUGAAGGAAAUUCUUGUUUAUCUUAGUGGCGGACGGGUGAGUAACGCGUGAGCAACCUGCCUUUCAGAGGGGGAUAACGUCUUGAAAAGGACGCUAAUACCGCAUGAGACUACAGCCUCGCAUGGGGAAGUGGUCAAAGGAGCAAUCCGCUGAAAGAUGGGCUCGCGUCCGAUUAGGUAGUUGGCGGGGUAGAGGCCCACCAAGCCGACGAUCGGUAGCCGGACUGAGAGGUUGAACGGCCACAUUGGGACUGAGACACGGCCCAGACUCCUACGGGAGGCAGCAGUGAGGGAUAUUGGUCAAGUGGGGGAAACCCUGAACCAGCAACGCCGCGUGAGG
This 428-nucleotide ribosomal RNA is filed under the name uncultured bacterium. Its description in RNAcentral is "bacterial SSU rRNA". It matches the Rfam family "Bacterial small subunit ribosomal RNA", at positions 9 to 406 of the family's 1533-position model. The record is from RNAcentral.